CCACCCGCGUCCCUUAUAUAUAGCGACCUAAGCAACAACAAAAAGGCUUAGAUUUUGGCAGUUGCAAGGGGAAGAGAAAAGAAGGAAGGAAAAAAAGGGAGAGGCUUUAAAAGAGGAUUAGACAAAUUCAUGGAGAAUAAGGCUUUCCAUGGAUAUUAGGCACAAUGGCUAUGCUCUACCUCCAUUGAUGAAGGCAGUAUGCCUCUGUACACCAGUUUCUGGAAAUUGCAGGAGGGGAGAAUCCUGUUACUCUCAGGUCCUGCUUCUGGUCUUUCAGUAUGCACUUGCUUGGCCCUUGUGAGAACAGGAUGUUGGAUUAAAUGGGCCUUCAGUCUGAUCUGGCAGCAAAGCUCUUCUUAUGUACUGCAACUGGGGAUGGAGUAUGCAUUUAAAGCUGAAUGCACACAAUUCACACGUAUGAACUGAAACACAGCUAUCUUUUGAAAUCCGCACAGCUCUGAAUUUUGCAAUGCAGUUCUCCUGCCAAGUCAUGGGCACAAUAAUGCAUAUACAGCGGUACCUUGGUACCCGAACAGCUUGGCUCCCGAACAAAACACCGCAAACCUGGAAGUAAGUGUUCCGGUUUGCGAACGUUUUUCAGAAGCUGGGCGUCUGACACGGCUUCCCCUUGAGUGCAGGAAGCUCCUGCAGCCAAUCGGAAUCUGUGCCUUGGUUUUCGAAUGGUUUUGGGAGUCAAAUGGACUCCCGGAACGGAUUAAGUUCAAGAACCAAGGUAUCACCGUAUUAAGGUAAGGAGUGCCUAUAUUAGUGAAAAUAACAUAUAAAAAUGCAUUCUGUUGGGGGAAAUAAAAAGUAUUAGGAAAAACAUGUUCCAUAAAAAUGUGUCCAUUAGGCAAAAUGUCAU
Non-coding RNA from Podarcis lilfordi (Lilford's wall lizard), 865 nucleotides. The record is from the annotation of a GenBank genome assembly. Lineage: Eukaryota; Metazoa; Chordata; Lepidosauria; Squamata; Lacertidae.